RNAcentral lists this ribosomal RNA (496 nucleotides) under uncultured bacterium. RNAcentral describes it as "partial 16S ribosomal RNA". It matches the Rfam family "Bacterial small subunit ribosomal RNA", at positions 29 to 507 of the family's 1533-position model. The record is from RNAcentral.
AUGUACGCUGGCGGCGUGCCUAAUACAUGCAAGUCGAGCGAACAGACGAGGAGCUUGCUCCUCUGACGUUAGCGGCGGACGGGUGAGUAACACGUGGAUAACCUACCUAUAAGACUGGGAUAACUUUGGGAAACCGGAGCUAAUACCGGAUAAUAUAUUGAACCGCAUGGUUCAAUAGUGAAAGACGGUUUUGCUGUCACUUAUAGAUGGAUCCGCGCCGCAUUAGCUAGUUGGUAAGGUAACGGCUUACCAAGGCGACGAUGCGUAGCCGACCUGAGAGGGUGAUCGGCCACACUGGAACUGAGACACGGUCCAGACUCCUACGGGAGGCAGCAGUAGGGAAUCUUCCGCAAUGGGCGAAAGCCUGACGGAGCAACGCCGCGUGAGUGAUGAAGGUCUUCGGAUCGUAAAACUCUGUUAUUAGGGAAGAACAAAUGUGUAAGUAACUAUGCACGUCUUGACGGUACCUAAUCAGAAAGCCACGGCUAACUACGUG